This 5713-nucleotide long non-coding RNA is filed under the name Bos grunniens (domestic yak). RNAcentral describes it as "lncRNA (ENSBGRG00000001719.1)". The record is from RNAcentral. Lineage: Eukaryota; Metazoa; Chordata; Mammalia; Artiodactyla; Bovidae.
AACAGUUUGGUAGUGGAAAAAAAAAAAUUGGACAUCCUCAUGAUCUUUUGCAAUAACCCCCCCAGAUGCGUGGUUCCCUUGUGUUGACUCUGCGUUGUGUAGAUCCCUUUGUGCAGGGGUCAAGGCUCUCGAGGGCUCAUCCCGUGGACGCGGGGGCCACCGGGAAGGACGACACUACACGGGACCCGCCGCCAGGCACGGCCGGGCCCCCUCGGUCCCCGCGGGGCAGAGACCGCCCAGCCCGGGUCCCGGGCACCAGCAGCUCUUCUGCAGCAAAGCCAUAGGAGGAGCGCGCAGGGCCUCCCCGUGGAGAGGGACGUCCAUGCCGGGUGAGGGAUCCCUGCCAGCCUCCGUGAACGGGCCGGCCCUUCAAGGAGGCCCCAGCACACGUGUUGGGAGCACGAUGCCGGCCAGCCUCUCGGGGGCCCGCGAUCGGCCUCGGGGAUGCGGAGAGGCCAAGGACGACAGCCGCUCGGGGGGCUCCGAGCUUCGGGGCUCGUGCCGGCUUCCAGGCUGCAGGGCCGGCUGGGUGAGGGGCUCAUGGGCUGGAGCAGGAAGGAUACGGGUGCCCCAGGCACCCCCAGGUGGGCUGAGAGGUGCUGAGCCUGCUCGGCGUUGGCGGCAGCACAGAGCAGAGCGGAGGCCGGCCCGCACCCCGGUGCCCCCAGAUGGAGGGGAGCGGGGUCCUCGCAGGCCUGGCGUCAGAAGCCGGCGAGGUGUCGGGACUGGCCCGAGACCUCGGGGAUGGACGUGCCGAGCUGCUCAGCGCACUUCCAACAACGGGCCCGCCGGCCCUCAGCUUGUCCCGCACCCCCCGGUGUCACUGGGAUCGUUGUUUUUUGAAGAAACAGAAGAUUAUAUUUUUUACAGAGAGCAAGCUGUUUUUCUUAUUUUUGUAUCAUUUUUCAGAUGUGAUUUUUACCUUUGCUCCUAAUUUGCUGGUCGGGUGAGUGACGCGGUGGCCUCACUCAGGUCACAUCCCCAGAGGGGUCCCCCCGCCCCAUGGGGAGCCUCCCCCACCAGCUCCCGAAGCACACGCCCCGGUCUGGACCGUAAGGGCGGGGCCAGCCCGGCUCCCAUUCCCCCCGGCGCUGGGAUCUUUUGAUUCUGCAGGUCGACCUUGAACGGACGCAGGCGGAGUCCACCCUCAGCCUGGGCUUUGGCCCCUGGUCAGCACAGGUGGAGCGAGUCUCGGGCUGGGGGAGGGUCCACAGCCAGUGGGGCCCCCUCCGGGCCCGAGGCAGGCAGGGUGGGCCCUGGACUGGGCCCAGGGUGACUGCGGGGGCGACACCCGGGAGUGCUGCCGGACGCCCUCGCUGGGGCCACUGUGUGGUCAGCGUGUGUCCCCAAGCCUGGGGCAGGGGCCCUGCAGGGGAGCGGACUUGCUGUCUUCAGAGCCACGUGGCUUGGUUUGAGUCCCUUCCGAGGAGAAAGGGAGAUGAAAACUGACCAUGUGCUGGGGGCGGCCGCCGGGGGCCGCGGCGGGCCCUGCUUGGAAGCCCGGGGCCUCUGCCGGGAGGGCGCCGGCCUGGGCAGACGCCCUGUCGGCAAGAGCCCGUGUCGUUUUUACUGAAUCGUGUAAAUCUGGGCAGAUGUUUAAUUUCUGCGACUGAUCACGGAACUAGAGUGAAUGUUAACGUUUUUAUGUCUGAAGCUUGAGUCUAUUUUCAAUUGUAAAUGCUCCUCACCAGUGUAAGUUUUGUUCUACAAAAGGACUGUACUGUAUGAAGAACUAAUUGAAAAAAAACCCUCCUGUAACUUUUUUUUUUAAAAAAAACCUUGUUUAAAGAAAAAAGUCUUGUAUAAAUUAUAAAUUUUUAUUUAAAUAAACCUGGAACGUGUUGUGCUCACAGUGGGGGAGGGUGUGGGGUGGCUUUCCUGGCAGGGUCCCGUGGCCAGCAGCGCUGGAGGGCAGUGGGGUUUUGGCGUCAAGGCCGAGGGGCGAGGUGGGUCCCCCGGGAGUGGGCCGUGGGGGCAGGGCGGGGGGCUAUGCACACGGACAGGCUGGGAAGAGGGAGGCAGAGGCCGGCUUCCAGAAGAAGGAAGCCAGUGAUGGGUGGUGGCCGGCGGGGAGGGGUGUCCAGGGGCUGGCACACACCCUGGAGGGGGGGGGUUCAGGCCUGGCCUCCUGGGGACCGUGAGCAUCUCUGGGGCCAGGUGCUGCUUGUAGCCCCCACCACACUGAGGCUGAGGUGGGAGGCCGAGGGGUCCUGGGCAGAGGGGUCCUUGGUAGCGCGUGUGGUUCUGCCGGGCCACUCGCCAACACUGGACACGGAUGCAGGAACCUGCCUGGCUUCUGCAGCCACUGGGGCCGUGCAGUGACCGUGCUGGGGGCCCGGCGGUGUGGGGCAGGGGGGUCUGGGGGACAGAAGGGGGAGACGGGCGCACAGAGGGAAUGAAAUGAACGUUCUUGUUCUUGAACUGGGGCUCUCUCCACGGGUGCUGUUUACAACAUGGCGUUUGGGGAGUGGAUUUUACGACUGACGGACAGGUAAAUAAGCAGGCACACACUGACCAAAGCGGGGUGCUUAUGGUGAACCAAGAACUCAGUCUGGUCCGGUUCUCCCCACGGUAACCAACUGGCAAAGCUGAUUCCAAAGGUAUUUGCUGAAACAGAGACUCGAGUGAGGUGUGAGGGACCCUGAGGACUGCAGGGGUGUCUGGGACCGGCAGCUGUGGUCCGUGAUCCGAGGGAGGCCCUAGUGUCCGGCUCGCUGAGAUCUGCCCCAAAACCACUGGGACAGGAAGCCCAGCCCCUUCCUCUUGCGGACCCAGCGUCCUCCACUGUCAAGGGCUGGCAUCCCACCAACAAGGUCGUGAAGGAAGACAAACGUUCCAGUAUCUGUGACUACAGACAGCCCCCAGGCCUGCAGAUAAAUGAGGCAACCUUUUUGGAUAUAAUCCCACUCAAAAAACAACUGCAUUUCUACUUAAAGGAGAGUAGCCUCACAAUAACGAUGUUUUUAAGAACAAAUCCAAAUAAAAUUGAAAGAUGUGGAAAAAUUCUAAAGCUCUAUGACAUGAAUGAGGACUGACGUAAAUGGAAACACAUGCAAUGCUAAUAGACUGGAAAAUUCCGUUUCAUGAUGAAAACGUUUUAAUACCCGCUAAAUGAGACAAGCUGCAGAAAAUGACACAGUAGGACCACUUUAUGUAAAGAGCAAAACCUGCAAAACUAAAUACACUAUCUCAAGAUAAACACAUGGGGGAAGGAGAAAAACCUUUCUUCUACCCUCUUACGUUCAGUUACUGGAGUCUGCAAGUUAAAUCAACAAAAGGCAAGUUAGGAGAAAAGGCAUAGAGUUUUUAUUUAAUGCUAAUAUUUACGUAUUUUUUUGUUCUGGAGGCCGUUGUAGAAAAAGAGUCUGACCCAAAGAGGUGGUCAGAGUCAGGGUUUUAUAUGCCGUUUUAAUAAAGGGCAAUAAAUUUGUCAAGAAGUGACAAGAUAAAAGGGAGCUUGGGCUUCUUGGGUGAACAUACUGAGGAAUUUUAUUUGCGGGGAAACUAAUGGACCAGAGUGAAAGUCGCUUGGUCAUGUCUGCCUCUGUGCAACUCCAUGGACUAUACAGUCCCUGGGAUUCUCCAGGUCAGAAUACUGGAGUGGGGAGCCUUCCCCUUCUCCAGGGGAUCUUCCCAUCCCAGGGAUUGAACCCAGGUCUCCUGCAUUGCAGGUGGAUUCUUUACCAGCUGAGCCACAAGAGAAAGGGGCUGGCAAACAGAACGGAAGGGUGGUUUUAUUACUCAGGUUGGUCUGUCAGCUCAGAGCUGACUCUGUCUCCAGGGACACGGGUGGCCCCCGAGGGCAGGGGGGCUCACCCGCACAUCGGGAGCGCGUGUCCCUCCAGGCAGACGUGGGAGGGGCAGGCAGCUCUGUCUGCAUUCCCUGCUGCUUCACUGUCACCUGCUCAGAACACCCUCAUGCCCAAGUGGCGCACGUGGGGUGCUGUGUUCUGAUCCCCUCACGUGGGUGAAGCAAGCGAUUCGCUCCAGUUUUAAAACCAUAGUUCCCUCCUCCGUGGGGGGAGGGGAGGCUCGGCCCACAAGGGCACACGGGGAGGAGCCUGGGGGUGAAGAUCAGUUCCUUGGCGUGGGUGGUGGGCUCACCAUUGCUCACUUUCUUUACAUUGUACGUGUUUUCACACAAAAAAAUACUCUGCUUUGAAAGACAACAGGAAUUUGUAAGAGGAAAAAAAAAAAAGCCACAUUCUGCCCAAAGUAACAACUUUAUUUGUCUUCUCAAACAUAUCAGAGCAAAUUCGCCAUCUUCUAACCUUGAAGCCAGCAAGAUUAGAAAGGAAGUUAAGCCCCUUUCCGUUGCCACUGCCAGUUCCACGGGGCCGCUGUGAGGGCAGAGGCAGCUGGCGCCGAGGGGCUGGCACGCCGGCCGCCCUGGCCUGCGCAUAACCGGGAACAAGGAACCGCAGCACCGCCGGGCACAGGGUCCUCCCCAUCCAGCCAUCAGUUCCGAUUUUUCCUUAAAAUCCUGGAGUUUAGGCUGUGGUCGCUCCACCAGAGUCCUGGCUCGCGGGAAGGUCAGGAAGGUACUCUGGUCCUGGGGUGGGGUCGUCCGCAGCGCCUGGGGUGGGGGUGGGGGCUCAGACAGUCACAUGACCCCCGGGGACAGUUCCAGAAUCUGCGGUUUUGAAGGUCAGCAAGCGGUUGCAGAAUAUGGCCAAGGCCACUGGGGACCACGUGGCAUUACAGGGGUGGGGGUGGGGGUUCCUUCUCGAACAGAACAUGCUUACUCUUGGCCUAGACUGUUUUUCUAGCAACGGCAAUGGGUUUCGGGGCAGACCAGUGAUUGACGUUUCGCAGGGACGAUCAAGACCAUGGAGACCCUCUUGGGGACCCUGUAGAAACACGGUCUCCUGAAAAACUCCUGUCGAAGCUGCCCUGGGUGGGAAUGAGACAGGACAUGCAACAUAUACGAGUUCUGAGAAUGAAGGACAUCUGUUAGAAGCGAGGGUGACCGCCGGACCCUGUGUGGUGGCCGGCGGCCCUCAAACCGCCUCUUGUAACAGUCGAGCUCCCUUUUCACAAGUCCAAAUGGGGCAGCAUCCUCUUAGGUCUCAGAUAAAGCUGCUGCAGAUGCGUCGUCCACGCACAGAAGCACAAACACAGAUGAAACGGGGCCAGGCCAGGCGCCCCCCUCCCGGUCUGGGGUGGGGCCCGCACUUGCGCAGCAAACAAAGGAAAACACGGCCAGCGAGGACACUGUACGCUCUUCCGGUUUACAGGACGCACCUUGCAAUAAAUACGUGGAAGGAAGUGUGAAGACAACAAAGGCAUGGGCCUGGAUCACGGGUACAGACGGGGCUGCGGGAAGGGCACCCCGGCACGUGGGACCCUCUCCCCAGGGCGGUGGGGCGCUCGGUCCGAAGUUCACGGGCUGCUUCCCGUCGGGCCACCGAGCCGGGCACGGCAGCCCCCGCCGUGGGGAGAGCACUCGCGGCGUCUAAGCGCUGAGACACUCGCCAGGGCGCCACAAGCGGCUGGUUUCCAAGGCGCCUGACCUGUCCUCCCGCCGGAUCGUCUAGAAGUGCUGCUGUGACAGGAGUGCAGCCCGGGGAGUCCCUCCCGCUCGCUGGACCAGGCUGCCCCGGAGGGAGUGCAGCCCGGGGACUCCCACCCGCUCGCUGGACCAGGCUGCCCCGGAGGGAGUGCAGCCCGGGGACUCCCACCCGCUCGCUGGACCAGGCCGCCCCGGAGGGAG